GCUUGUUGUGUUGGCACAUGCCUGUAAUCCCAGAGGCUUGGGAGGCUGAGGCAGGAGGAUCAUGAGUUCAAAGCCAGCCUCAGUAAAAGCGAGGUGCUAAGCAACACAGUGAGACCCUGCCUCUA
RNAcentral lists this small RNA (125 nucleotides) under Marmota monax (woodchuck). The record is from RNAcentral. Lineage: Eukaryota; Metazoa; Chordata; Mammalia; Rodentia; Sciuridae.